CCUGUAUCAACUGGAGCAGACUAGAUACAGAGCUAUUUUGUAGACACUUCGCAGGUCUCAAAACACCGGCUUGUGCAUCCUGCUCUUCUACCACUCACACUACCAAUUUUUGUUCUCACACGGUAGACGACCGUAAUCAGUCACCCAGCACAAGCUACGCGGGUAGAACUGAGAGAACCACCAGAGACAAACUGGGUCGUCCCAUCAUAUUCUUUGGUAAAUCGCAAGUGUGCAAUAAUUUCAAUGUGGGCACAUGUAGCUUUAGUGCAUGCAAGUUAUUGCAUAUUUGUUCACAUUGUUUCAGGGCACAUGCGCUUACCGUGUGUCCAAAUAAAAUGUACCCUAAACCGUACCUAACGUCUGUUAACAUUCAUGUCUUCUCACUACUACUAACCAAUCACCCUUCCAGACAUAUGGUAAAUUUUCUCAUAUCUGGUUUCUCAGAGGGGUUUCAUACAGGCAUUAUACAUAUGCCCACAGGCCAACUCGAAUGUCCUAAUUUACAAUCAGCACAACAAAACCCAAUAGCCCAAGAGCUGGCAGAGGGGUUCUUGUUUCAAAACCCCACUUUUUACGGCAUGGCGCACAAAUCCCAUAG
Non-coding RNA from Pelobates cultripes (western spadefoot toad), 598 nucleotides. The record is from the annotation of a GenBank genome assembly. NCBI's taxonomy places the organism in Eukaryota, Metazoa, Chordata, Amphibia, Anura, Pelobatidae.